Molecule: long non-coding RNA, 2083 nt
Organism: Xenia sp. Carnegie-2017
Lineage: Eukaryota; Metazoa; Cnidaria; Anthozoa; Malacalcyonacea; Xeniidae
Exons: 3
Source: RefSeq, a predicted model, not a curated record
UCAACGCAGAGUACUUGUUUCACAUAUUGGUGUUUUUGCGUGCUAUCGGUUUGGUCGUCAUAAGGUAUUGAUUCAAUGUUAUGAAAGUAAUCUUAGCUCCAUUUCAUUAAAUCGUUCUUGGACAUGUUUUGUUUUUAACGAUGGACAGUUGGACAUUAUUGCUGUUUUAAACUGAGGUUUUACGAUCAGUCGACUACUAACAUUAUUUGACGAAACUUGUACUCUUCUAACAUGAUUAAAAACAAUCAAUACAGUAGCUGGUUUUAUCUCAUUGCCUUUUUAUUUACAUUUGGUGCGACGAUUGUUUGUUAAAGACCUUCUCUUUGUAACUUUUUCUAUGACUUCAAUGUACGUAGACGUGACUUUAAUGUGUGCUGAUCAUAAAGAUUUUAUAAAGUGUUGAGUGUUUUAACUGCCUGAUAUAUAACUAUGGUUACGAUAAAUGCUGUUUAAAAUAAAUGUUUUACUGUUUUACGUAAGUAGACACUUCGUAUUUCGACAUAUUUCGUAGAAGAAAUAUUAUUUCUUUCAAUAAAACGUGCACAUACACAAAUCCUUUAAAAAGGGCAUGUAAUAAAUAUUUCAACUAUUUUCCUAAUGAAUCAAUACGUGGUGAUUGUGGAUGUUUUCCAUUUGACGUUACGCCAAUGCUGGGACGCCGAUCAUGUCAACAUAACGCAACUAUGACAGUAAACAUGAAAUGGAAGUUAUUUACACGACUUUGUAGAUGGAUAAAGUUGGAACGAACGUAGAAAACUAUAGCACAGCACAUCGACAACAUUAUUUACAUUGGUAGUAUUUUAUCACCAUGCAGGUUUGUCGGACUUCACGUUCACACUAUUUGGUAUGACGUUUCCAAGAACUAUUGUUUUUUGUCAGUUUAGUCCUGGUAAACUAUAAAUGGGAAUUACCAUUGUAUUAUAUGACGUCAUUAUUGUGUAACUUCUGAAACCUUAAUUGUGGAGGGGGUUACAUGUGGUAACGUUGAUUUCUUUUAGCUGUUACUCUAGAAGGAUAAGUUCAGUGUUUUUUACUUAAGAAAUAAUCUUUAUUAUACUUUCAUGUUAAUUUUAAUGACUUGUUGCAGGAAAUAUUUACAGUUAUUAGAAAGCCGAAGUUUUAAACCAUUCAGGAAGUACCAGCAACUUGGCGACACCUGGAGCUGUUCAAAUUUUUAGCUAUCUUCAAAAGGACUCAACUACAAGAAUAUCUUGGGAAUGAUUAUCAUUGUAAAAAACCAUUUGAACUUACGUAUUGAAUUUGAAAAGAUUCGUAUUACAUUGGUCAUGUCCUAAAUUGUAUCGAGAAGACUUCGACAAUGUUGGCCUCGGCCGGGAUGAUUUUCCAAGUUUGCUUGAAGAAAAUUCACAGCAUCACCUCUUCAUGAGAGUGAGGACAACUAGUAUGGCUCAAAUAUAAAUAGUAUAGACUAAAAGCAUGACAAUGGAGAGUUGCAAAAUGUAUUGUCGAGUUGAUCAAACCUCUACAGAAAUACCUCAAGUUUGAAUUGUUUAUCAAGCCUAGUUCUUAUUCAUCGCAAAACGUGGGCGAUAGAACUUCUACGACUUAGCGAGCGCUUACGAUUAAUGAGAAUGCAUUAAAAAUUGUGUUUCGGAUUUUUUGUGACGGUCGCUGAACAUCGGCGUCACGAUCAUUGCCGAGUGCUACUUGCUUAAAAUAUCUUUUUGAACGACAAUCAGUUGAGUCGGGCAACUUUGGCGACAACUUUUACUAUAAACAUUUCAAGCUGAACAGAAAUCGUUAACUUUAGAUUAAAUGGGGCCAUUUUUACUUGAUAUGAAUAUCAAAGCGAUAUCAUCGGUAUGCAAGCGAUAUUGGCUUGUAUAUCAUCGCCGAUUUAUUAGAACCUUUCGUGCGCUGGCCAUCACCUACCAUCGGCUAUAAACAUCACCGAUUCUAGCGAUGCUUUGUGAUAAAUGACAACUAGGCCUAAUGUACUUAUAAAACUUCACGCAAAUUAUUGAAACCGAUGUUUCAAAUUUUUUGAUGAAGAUUAUGUUUUAAAUAUUGCUUCUAUUAGAAAUGAAAUAAAGACCUUAGCGUCGUUAACAAAUAGUCCUAA